This 29-nucleotide non-coding RNA is filed under the name Homo sapiens (human). The record is from RNAcentral. Lineage: Eukaryota; Metazoa; Chordata; Mammalia; Primates; Hominidae.
UUGUGGAGGAAGCAAGUGCUGGCUGCCUC